Molecule: ribosomal RNA, 253 nt
Filed under: uncultured bacterium
Lineage: Bacteria
Description: partial 16S ribosomal RNA
Rfam family: Bacterial small subunit ribosomal RNA
Source: RNAcentral
UACGUAGGGUGCGAGCGUUAAUCGGAAUUACUGGGCGUAAAGCGUGCGCAGGCGGUGAUGUAAGACAGAUGUGAAAUCCCCGGGCUCAACCUGGGAACUGCAUUUGUGACUGCAUCGCUGGAGUGCGGCAGAGGGGGAUGGAAUUCCGCGUGUAGCAGUGAAAUGCGUAGAGAUGCGGAGGAACACCGAUGGCGAAGGCAGCCCCCUGGGCUAACACUGACGCUCAGGCACGAAAGCGUGGGGAGCAAACAGG